Molecule: ribosomal RNA, 997 nt
Filed under: Salmonella enterica subsp. enterica serovar Paratyphi A
Lineage: Bacteria; Pseudomonadati; Pseudomonadota; Gammaproteobacteria; Enterobacterales; Enterobacteriaceae
Description: bacterial SSU rRNA
Rfam family: Bacterial small subunit ribosomal RNA
Source: RNAcentral
AUACGGAGGGUGCAAGCGUUAAUCGGAAUUACUGGGCGUAAAGCGCACGCAGGCGGUCUGUCAAGUCGGAUGUGAAAUCCCCGGGCUCAACCUGGGAACUGCAUUCGAAACUGGCAGGCUUGAGUCUUGUAGAGGGGGGGAGAAUUCCAGGUGUAGCGGUGAAAUGCGUAGAGAUCUGGAGGAAUACCGGUGGCGAAGGCGGCCCCCUGGACAAAGACUGACGCUCAGGUGCGAAAGCGUGGGGAGCAAACAGGAUUAGAUACCCUGGUAGUCCACGCCGUAAACGAUGUCUACUUGGAGGUUGUGCCCUUGAGGCGUGGCUUCCGGAGCUAACGCGUUAAGUAGACCGCCUGGGGAGUACGGCCGCAAGGUUAAAACUCAAAUGAAUUGACGGGGGCCCGCACAAGCGGUGGAGCAUGUGGUUUAAUUCGAUGCAACGCGAAGAACCUUACCUGGUCUUGACAUCCACGGAAGUUUUCAGAGAUGAGAAUGUGCCUUCGGGAACCGUGAGACAGGUGCUGCAUGGCUGUCGUCAGCUCGUGUUGUGAAAUGUUGGGUUAAGUCCCGCAACGAGCGCAACCCUUAUCCUUUGUUGCCAGCGGUCCGGCCGGGAACUCAAAGGAGACUGCCAGUGAUAAACUGGAGGAAGGUGGGGAUGACGUCAAGUCAUCAUGGCCCUUACGACCAGGGCUACACACGUGCUACAAUGGCGCAUACAAAGAGAAGCGACCUCGCGAGAGCAAGCGGACCUCAUAAAGUGCGUCGUAGUCCGGAUUGGAGUCUGCAACUCGACUCCAUGAAGUCGGAAUCGCUAGUAAUCGUGGAUCAGAAUGCCACGGUGAAUACGUUCCCGGGCCUUGUACACACCGCCCGUCACACCAUGGGAGUGGGUUGCAAAAGAAGUAGGUAGCUUAACCUUCGGGAGGGCGCUUACCACUUUGUGAUUCAUGACUGGGGUGAAGUCGUAACAAGGUAACCGUAGGGGAACCUGCGGUUG